GAUGAACGCUGGCGGCGUGCCUAACACAUGCAAGUCGAGCGAACGGACGAGAAGCUUGUGUCUCUGAUGUUGGCGGCGGACGGGUGAGUAACACGUGGAUAGCAUACCUAUAAGACUGGGAUAAUAUCGGGAAACCGGAGCUAAUACCGGAUAAUAUUUUGAACCGGAUUGUGCAAAGGUGAAAGUCGGUCUUGGUGUCACUAAUAGCUGGAUCCGGGCUGGAUUAGCUAGUUGGUAAGGUAACGGCUUAGCAAGGCAACGAUGCGUAGCCGACCUGAGAGGGUGGUCGGCCACACGGGAACUGAGACACGGUCCAGACUCCUACGGGAGGCAGCAGUAGGGAAUCUUCCGCAAUGGGCGAAAGCCUGACAGAGCAACACCGCGUGAGUGAUGAAGGUCUUCGGAUCGUAAAGCUCUGUUAUUAGGAAAGAACAUAUGUGUAUUUAACCGUGGACAUCUUGACGGUACCUAAUGAAAAAGCCACGGCUAACUACGUG
Molecule: ribosomal RNA, 497 nt
Filed under: uncultured bacterium
Lineage: Bacteria
Description: partial 16S ribosomal RNA
Rfam family: Bacterial small subunit ribosomal RNA
Source: RNAcentral